GUCUCUCCCACCUCAGAAGCUGGAGUUCAGCCAUUCAAUUAGAUAUGAUGGGCUCAGGCGAGAAUUUGGAAAUGUGCAUUUGAAGGGGAGGUUACUUUUUAGCACAAUUGCAGACACUUUGAACAAGUUAAGAUCUCAAUUUGUAGGCUCUAAUCUGAACCUUCGUGGGCCAUUAAAAGAAUUUUCUGAUAUUGAAGACAUGUUGAAGCAGGAAAGUUCUGAGUUCGAGGCUAGCGUUGACAAUGCUGUUUGUAAGAAUGGAAAUACAAACAAGGCUGAUUACAAGCUUCUUAGCAUAAAUCGAUUGUUAUGGGAACUUCUUCUGGAAUCGUGCAUUUGGGAACAGCGGCUGCAUUCACUGCUCUUACCUGAUCGUUCUUUGGUUCACACUGGUGCUAUUGAGAAAGCAGUGGACAACCAAGUGAAGUCAAAGAUGAGUGGCACCAUUGAUGGAAGAAAUGAAGGGACUGAAAUUGUUUUGGAUGACAGAAGUGGUGAGUUGAAAGAUAUGUUGGGU
RNAcentral lists this unclassified non-coding RNA (517 nucleotides) under Hevea brasiliensis (rubber tree). Lineage: Eukaryota; Viridiplantae; Streptophyta; Magnoliopsida; Malpighiales; Euphorbiaceae. The record is from RNAcentral.